CCAAAGACCACUGAAUCUGAUCAUCAGGAAACCUGUUGCCCCUGUAGUGGGAGAAGCUGGAUUGACACCCUUGAAUCCUGCUAUCCUGUGAACCUGUGGCCUCUUGGCCUUAACACAUCUCAAGCCUGUUGGCUGCUGCUCAGCUCAGGAUGGAGGUGCUCAGAAACACCAGUGCUUCUCUCCUGCAUGCGGUACCCAAACAUGUGUACCCUCUCUGAGGCUUUCAAACAGAGUCUCAGACAAAACUUCAUCUGGGUGAGGAAGAAUCUGAACCUGUUCUUCUUGUGUCUCAUGUGAAUGCACUGCACCCUGCAAGGCUGCUGCUGACACGAGGAGGGCAUGUGCUUACCUAUACCUGUGCAAGGAAAUACCUUCCCCAUCUUGCUUGCUGAUCCAUGCCAAGUUCAGAACUUACCAGAGUGAGACCCUGAAUUCAGGAUAGCUC
RNAcentral lists this long non-coding RNA (445 nucleotides) under Parus major (Great Tit). RNAcentral's name for it is "lncRNA (ENSPMJG00000005092.1)". Lineage: Eukaryota; Metazoa; Chordata; Aves; Passeriformes; Paridae. The record is from RNAcentral.